UAGUUCAUGAAAUGAUGUUUGGAGCGCUUAGAGUAUAUACGCGCCAUAAUGCGCGUAUGGCUGAUGGAGGCGGUGCUACGUUUCGCACGAUUUAUUUGUGAACAAAUUAUUUUGAAUUGUUGACAUAAUUGUUAAAUGAAAAUGGACAACGACAAAAGUACUAUGCUCGCAGUUUUGCAACUGCUUAGAAAAUACAAUUUGAAGGGAACGGAAGAAUUAUUCAAAAAAGAAGCUAAUUUGACUGAUAUAUCUGCAGAUGAUGCUCAACAGACUGAUUCUGAAGUUAACAGUGUACUUUCUGCAUAUAAAAGCGAAGGAGAUCCUGCACUUUAUGAGAAAGCAUAUAGCGAAUUGAAGAAAUUUGUAGAAGGUUCUUUAGAUAUAUAUAAACAUGAGUUGGGUACAAUUUUAUACCCAGUUUUGGUACAUAUGUACCUUGAAUUGGUUUACAAUAAUCAUUCUGAGGAAGCUAAACAGUUAUUGGAAAAGUUUGGUGGAAAUCUAGAAGAAUAUUACCAAAAUGACUUGAAAAGAUUAUCUAAUGUAACAAAACGCGAACAAAUGGCUGGAAAUGAAUUAACAGAUACCUUUAAGUCCAAUCAGUUUAUAAUCAGAAUGUCAAGAGAUACUCUUUCAAUAUUAAAAAGACAUUUACAAGAAAAGAAACACAGUGUAUUACUAAAUAUCAUACAGGAGCAUUUAUAUUUUGAUAUGUACGAGGGUGUGGCAAGAAACAAACAACAGAUUGAUGCUACAUCUGGUGCAGUGGUUGGUGAGGCAACAAGACAAGAUAAUAAGGCAAAAGUAUAUUAUGGACUUUUAAAAGAGCCAGACAUUCAGUGUAUGCCUCCAACUGAGGAAGAGGAGGACGAUACAGGUGGUGCAGAUGGAGAUAAACCGAAAAAGAAGAAAGCCAAGAAGGAUCCUCUGUUUUCUAAGAAAACCAAAUCAGAUCCGAAUGCACCACCUGUUGGUAGAAUGCCUUUACCAAAUUUAAAAGAUGCGGAUAAAUUGGAAAAGGUAAAAGCACUGAGAGAAGCAUCGAAACGCGUUGUACUCGGUCCAGACACCUUACCAUCUAUAUGCUUUUAUACACUCUUAAACACAGUUCAUACUGUAACAGCGGCUGAAGUAGCUGAAGACUCGAGUUUACUAGCUAUCGGAUUCAGUGACUCUUGUAUAAAGGUGUGGAGUUUAGUUCCACAAAAAUUAAGACUUAUGAAGACAGGCGAACAAUUACAGGACAUUGAUAGAGAAGCAGACGACGUAUUGGUAAGAAUGAUGGAUGAUCGUACAGCGGAAACAUCUAGAUCUUUAUUCGGACACAAUGGUCCCGUGUACAGUUUAUCGUUCAGUCCAGAUAGAAAUUUACUUCUUUCUUCCUCAGAAGACAGUACAGUAAGGCUGUGGUCUUUACACACAUGGACUUGCGUGGUAUGUUACAAGGGACAUUUGUUCCCAGUAUGGUGCGUUCGAUUUUCACCUCAUGGUUAUUACUUUGCAACUUCCUCUCACGACAAAACUGCCAGACUAUGGGCAACCGAUUCCCAUCAACCUCUUCGAAUAUUUGCCGGUCACUAUUCGGACGUAGAUGUAGUUCAGUUUCAUCCAAAUUCGAAUUACGUAGCGACCGGUUCCAGCGAUAUGACAGUAAGAUUAUGGGACUGCGUAACUGGCAGCCAAGUCAGAUUAAUGACAGGACACAAAGCUCCGAUUUAUUCUCUUGCUUUUUCCGCAGAGGGUCGAUUUUUAGCGUCGGCUGGAGCCGAUCACCGCGUUUUAGUUUGGGAUUUGGCACACGGUCAUCUCGUUGCCGCCUUGUCAAGUCAUUCCGGUACUAUUCAUUGUUUAUCGUUUAGCAGAGAUGGAAACUUGUUAGUCUCUGGCUCGUUAGACUCUACUAUAAAAUUAUGGGAUUUCACAAAACUCGCGGAAGAAAUGAGCCUAGAAGACGUGAACGUAUCCCAUAAUCCAGAUGUUAAAACAAACGCGGAAGCGUAUCUCCUUCGAACGUUCGCGACCAAAAAUACUCCGGUCAUGACUUUACACUUUUCACGAAGAAAUUUACUAUUAGGCGUUGGGAUGUUCGAAUCGACCUAGCAAUCCUAGUCAAUUUUCGUGAUCGAUUUUUACUGAUAAAACACGGUGUGGCAUUGAUUCCCUAUUAUUCACAAGAUUUGCUCCAUGUUUCUUCCUCGCGUUGAAACAAGAACACCGUAGUUUCUAUAACUUCCUAUAAUAAAUGAAGGAACAUACCAAUCCAUUUAAAAAGACAGAGUCAAUUCAAAGUCAACAGCACUCUCGUCGGGAGACAAGAUGGAUGUAAUCAAUUCAAAGAUCCAAGUAACGAACUUCAAUUACAACUAGAAUAUGGAUGGACCGGGUACAGGCACCACUUGGUAAUCACUGGAUUUCACGCAUCCAUAUUCUAUUUUCAUGAUUAAAUCAACUUAGAACACCUAUCGCAAUUGAAUCUAUUACUUGCAUCGUAUUGUAUUUUCAUGAACAUUCAUCAGAUUAUCUAUCCCAUAAAACAAUACCAUCCACAGGAAUUUCCAAGAUUCUCCCGAAGACGAUCAACGGUGAUCGGCACCGAGGGUUUCAUUUACGAGAAGAUAUUUAUAACUGACCGACAUCGCUCUUCAAAAGCGCAUCAUUCAAAAUAAAAAGGUGGCUGAAUACUAAGACCGAAUGUGCUCGUUAGUUCGAAGGUCGAGCAAGAGAAGGUUUGAAUAAUGAAAUCUGAGCUUUCUGAAAAGGAGCGUUCUCCAUUCCAGUUGAUUGUAUGAUACUAGGUCGUUGCGUUCGAAUACGAGUAGAUCGUUAAAAUGUGAACGAAGACGGGUCUUUCAUUCAUACGGCACGUGCGAUCGUAUGGAAUUUAAGUUUUCCUUAACUGAAAGGCGUCCCAUCGCUUAUUUCUUCUGGAAUUAUGUUCUUCUUUGAAUCUUCCAAGACCAAAGCCUGGGAGGCUUCGCCUCUGCCACUUAAUCUCGACUAAAAAGUUGAACAGAAGUAGAAGAUUUAAAGGGUCGCAUACAACCAACACUUGAUUCACGCGAGAAAUUUAUUUCCGAUUGUUGAUACGCUUACUUCUAUCACAGCAUACAGACGUAAGUUAUACGCGCUUUUUUUUUUUUUACCAUACGUGUGUGUACGUGGUAUGUAUGUAUGUAUGUAUGUAGGUAAUACCCUCUCUGCAUACGUGGCUCCGUGUGUGCGUACGUGAAAUGAUGGCUUUUUUUUCUUUUUUUUUUUUUUUUUUAGUAAUUUAACACUUUCGUAAUAGGGUUACAAUGUAUGCGUUGUCGUUCCCGUCUUCUCUUCUUCGUUUCUUUUCGCAUUCGUUUAAACUGAUAAUCAACUAUACAUCGAUCUCUACAUUCCCAGUCAAGCCUCGCGCAUCGAUAUCAAACCUAGGGUUACAUGUGUGAUUUAACUAUAUGUUAUAUCAUCUUCGUUAAUGUACUUAUGAAAUCUGGAUAGAUUUACGUUCUCGCGAGUUAACGCAGGAGUAUAGGCUGACCCGGCAUCAAAUUGAAAAUCAAUUGAUCCGAAAGGAACUGUAUCGAGCUAUACUCUUACGUUAACGCAUAAAUGGUGGUUCCGUAUUUCUUAGAAAAAACGAUGGAAUUAUCGACGGAUCGACGCAGAUUACACCGAUCGGUUUAAUAAAAACGAUUCGGAAGGAUUUCGUGAUAAUGCGUUGGUUGAUUUUGGUCGUGAUCCUUAGAAUAAAUUGCAUAUGAAUAUCGUUUAAACCCGAUAAUUAAUUAUAAAAAUUAUAGAGUAAAACGGAUUUAAAAAAACUGACAAAUAUCGGUGGAAAUAAUUCUCUUCACUUUUUUUGUUUGUUUUUUGGACUUUUUAAAAAUGUUUUCCUCUCUUCUUCUGGCGUGUUUUCUUUCCUCUCUUUUUUCCAGUACAUCACAGCGUGUUUCAUUUCUUUCAGUUCCGUUUUUCCCCCCGAUGUUCACAUGCGAUUUAUGUAAUAUCGUUUAUAGGACUUUGUACUAGGACCGGCCGUUUUCUUUCUUCAUCUUCUUCUCUUCGCCAAAUUCUGUUCUGCGUCGUUUCUCGUCGUGGACGUUUGUGGCACUCGUUCGGCAACCGACCGUAAUAAAAAAUUCUCUCCCGAUGCAAAUUACAAGUUUUUUCCCUACAUCGUUUUAAAAGCAUAUACUCGUACGUAUCUCGCAUUCUUCUCUUCCCUUAGUUUCUACUAUAUAGUUCUCUCACGCUCUGUAUGCUUCUCGUUUUCACGCGUUGCUUUAAACCUAGAAAAAAAAAAAAAAAAAAAAAAAAAAAAAGAAAA
Non-coding RNA from Osmia lignaria (orchard mason bee), 4315 nucleotides. The record is from RefSeq and is a predicted model, not a curated record. Lineage: Eukaryota; Metazoa; Arthropoda; Insecta; Hymenoptera; Megachilidae.